GAGUAUAUGGAUAAUAUGGGAUAUGUCAAUUAACCCUUGUUUUGUGACAGUGUUUGAAAAUGGCAUCUGAAAAUGUUGAGAUAAGUAAUGGAGCAAAAUAAUAUGACCGUAUCGCAGUAUGAGGCUAAGUUUGCGGAGUUAUCCCGGUUUGCAUCGCAUUUGGUCGAUAAUGAGGAGCGAAUGACGCGAAUGUUUCUAAGAGGUUUGAAACCCGAUAUACGUCAAUACCU
This 230-nucleotide long non-coding RNA is filed under the name Panax ginseng (ginseng). RNAcentral describes it as "long non-coding RNA (PGIN_LNC000941)". The record is from RNAcentral. Lineage: Eukaryota; Viridiplantae; Streptophyta; Magnoliopsida; Apiales; Araliaceae.